CGGGACUGUUCCAUUUUCGUUUAGCACAACAAAAGGGGCACUGCUAUUUUCUUUUAGGCCGAAUUCCGAAAAUAAGCUAUCAACAGCGAAAUAUCUCUCGUCAGCAGCCAUUAAAGCCAAUCCAUACUCCAAAUAUAGUGAACCUGGAAAGAAAAGCUUAUCUCAAGGAUUUGAUCGUGCUAAGGUUUGUGUUCAUCCAACUGCUCCAAUAGUUCUUUUAUUCUUGGAGAAUGGAGAUGUUUAGAGCUUUUUUGAAGAGUCCCAUUGGUCCCAAAACAACUCAUUUCUGGGGCCCUGUUUUCAACUGGAGCCUCCCUAUUGCAGUAUUGCUAAAUGAACACUACAAAUUUCUUUUCAGUUACCUCUGAUGUCAAAUCCAGUUUUUCUUGAAAACUAACACUGCAGUUUUAAAGGCAUUUGUAGACACAAAAACCCCCGGAGAUGAUAUCAGGCAACAUGACUGCAGUAAUGUGCGGAUACUCGGCAUUGUUCAUGAGAUUUGCAUGGAUGGUACAACCGCGCAACAUCCAUCUUCUCGUCUGCCAUGCCUCGAACGAGACCGUGCAGCUUUACCAGCUCUCCCGUUGGAUUAAUGCUCAACAGAAUUCACAGAAGAAUGAUGAAAACAAGACCCCAAGCAGCAACAAAGAGGACUAGUAGUACAAUAGUGAAGUCAUCAUUAUACCUUGAUGUUCAGUAAAAACUCUAAUUGUAAAAUUUGCUUCUUUCUCAUGAAGAUUUGUCUUUGUUUAGCUUA
Long non-coding RNA from Hibiscus syriacus, 757 nucleotides. RefSeq lists it as uncharacterized. NCBI's taxonomy places the organism in Eukaryota, Viridiplantae, Streptophyta, Magnoliopsida, Malvales, Malvaceae. The transcript is spliced from 6 exons. The record is from RefSeq and is a predicted model, not a curated record.